GGUAGUUUUGCCUAUACGAAGGUAUUGAAAUAAGAUUUUAAAUGAGUGCUAAGAGAAUGAUUAAACAAUUAAAAGCUUUCUUUAAUUAAAUAAUUGAAUUUAAUUUUUUAGUGCAAAAGCAAAAAUAAAAAUUAGGGACAAGAAGACCCUAUGAAUUUUUUAUUAAAUUUUAUAUAAAGUUUUAUAAAAUUUAAUUUAAUUGGGGUGAUGGAAAAAGAAUAAAUAUCUUUUUUUAAAAGAAAAUUGGUUCCGUUUUUAGCGAUUAAAUGAAAAAAAUACUCUAGGGAUAACAGCGUAAUAAUUUUGGAUAGUUCAUAUAGAUAAAAUAGUUUGCGACCUCGAUGUUGGAUUAGGAUUCUUUUUUGGUGAAGAAGUUAAAAAAAGAAGUUUGUUCAACUUAUAAUUUCCU
Molecule: ribosomal RNA, 409 nt
Filed under: Ixodes ricinus (castor bean tick)
Lineage: Eukaryota; Metazoa; Arthropoda; Arachnida; Ixodida; Ixodidae
Description: partial 16S ribosomal RNA
Source: RNAcentral